Molecule: non-coding RNA, 113 nt
Filed under: Kozakia baliensis
Lineage: Bacteria; Pseudomonadati; Pseudomonadota; Alphaproteobacteria; Acetobacterales; Acetobacteraceae
Description: SAM-I-IV sequence
Rfam family: SAM-I/IV (S-adenosyl methionine) riboswitch aptamer
About the family: It is found upstream of a number of genes which code for proteins involved in methionine or cysteine biosynthesis. It has been found mostly in the order Actinomycetales.
Source: Rfam by way of RNAcentral
UCCCAGCAUCAAGAGCCGGGCCUCGAAACCCGGCACCAACCUGCUCCCAAGCAAGGUGGUGCCUUCGUGAAAACGAAGGGAUGUGGCCAGAACCGGCAACUUCGGGAAGAGCC